CAAUAGCGUAUAUUUAAGUUGUUGCAGUUAAAAAGCUCGUAGUUGGAUUUCGGGUGGGACCUGCCGGUCCGUCGUUGCGAUGUGCACUGGCCGGUCCCAUCUUGUUGUCGGGGACCAGCUCCUGGGCUUCACUGUCCGGGACUGGGAGCCGACGAAGUUACUUUGAGUAAAUUAGAGUGUUCAAAGCAAGCCUACGCUCUGAAUAUAUUAGCAUGGAAUAACACGAUAGGACUCUGGCUUAUCUUGUUGGUCUGUGAGACCAGAGUAAUGAUUAAGAGGGACAGUCGGGGACAUUCGUAUUUCAUUGUCAGAGGUGAAAUUCUUGGAUUUAUGAAAGACGAACUUCUGCGAAAGCAUUUGUCAAGGAUGUUUNCAUUAA
This 379-nucleotide ribosomal RNA is filed under the name uncultured eukaryote. Its description in RNAcentral is "partial 18S ribosomal RNA". It matches the Rfam family "Eukaryotic small subunit ribosomal RNA", at positions 592 to 976 of the family's 1831-position model. The record is from RNAcentral.